RNAcentral lists this ribosomal RNA (538 nucleotides) under uncultured bacterium. Its description in RNAcentral is "bacterial SSU rRNA". It matches the Rfam family "Bacterial small subunit ribosomal RNA", at positions 777 to 1314 of the family's 1533-position model. The record is from RNAcentral.
AAUAGAUACCCAGGUAGUCCACGCCGUAAACGAUGAGUGCUAAGUGUUAGAGGGUUUCCGCCCUUUAGUGCUGAAGUUAACGCAUUAAGCACUCCGCCUGGGGAGUACGGUCGCAAGACUGAAACUCAAAGGAAUUGACGGGGGCCCGCACAAGCGGUGGAGCAUGUGGUUUAAUUCGAAGCAACGCGAAGAACCUUACCAGGUCUUGACAUCCUCUGACAACCCUAGAGAUAGGGCUUUCCCUUCGGGGACAGAGUGACAGGUGGUGCAUGGUUGUCGUCAGCUCGUGUCGUGAGAUGUUGGGUUAAGUCCCGCAACGAGCGCAACCCUUGAUCUUAGUUGCCAGCAUUCAGUUGGGCACUCUAAGGUGACUGCCGGUGACAAACCGGAGGAAGGUGGGGAUGACGUCAAAUCAUCAUGCCCCUUAUGACCUGGGCUACACACGUGCUACAAUGGACGGUACAAAGAGUCGCGAGACCGCGAGGUGGAGCUAAUCUCAUAAAACCCGUUCUCAGUUCGGAUUGUAGGCUGCAACUCG